Molecule: long non-coding RNA, 1753 nt
Organism: Pezoporus occidentalis (night parrot)
Lineage: Eukaryota; Metazoa; Chordata; Aves; Psittaciformes; Psittacidae
Exons: 12
Source: RefSeq, a predicted model, not a curated record
AAACAGCCUAAGGAGGAGCUGUUUAUAGGUUGUGCCUGCUGAGUGUUGGAGGUGAUGAAGUGCACACGCUGUUUGCCUCUCCUGCCAAGGAUAGGUACAACGUGGUCAUUCAGGACUGAGCAUAUUGCCAGUACACCUUCCUCCCCAGGUGGUGAAGCGAGCAGUCGAGCACUGUGCUAGUCAUAGCAGCACAAGUUAUUACAUACCAGCUCUGCCUUUCCGUUGGAUAUUUCCUACAUGUUCAUGUGGCUGCACUCCACUUGAUGCAGAACUGAAAACUUCAGCUGCUGGGGUAAAUGUCUCCACUGCCUUGCAGCUAGACAAUGAAUACAUCAGUCAGGAAUCAAAGGUUUGCAAAGUCAUUCAGCCCCUCCAAAUUAGAAGGCGAACCAUCUGCACGACAGGAUGGAGCUCUCCUCAAAGGCUGCAGGCCAGGGCUGAUCUCAGUGACACCAGGGUUUCUGGCUCUGGAAUAGCUCUCAGACACAACUGGAAUGCAGAUAUACUCUUGAACUGCAUCCUGAAAGAUGCCAAAAGACGUUACCCAACCCACCAAAAUGGUUUGGGGUCCACAUAUCAUAGUAAUGGACACAUCUGAGAUCUCCUUUUGGCAGCUGGAGGAGAAGGGAAUGCCACCACAAAGGAAGGAUUACUGAAGCAAGUUUCACAUUGUAUUCAAAGGGAGCACAAGUGCUGUGCAGUACACAUGUCACCACCACGACAGAACUCCUGUUUGGGGAAAUCAAGAACUGAACAGAUCCUUUUCUAUUUCCACUCAUUUUCAGGAAUACGUUCCUUGAAGAGUUGGGCCUAGCAAUAUGGCAGCGCACAUUCGAUAAGAAAUCUUGUAAAAUGCUGCUCCUGAGGACCACGUGCUCCCUGACCCAUUGCCUUGACCGCUGCACAAUUAUUGCAGGGCUAGAGCUUGCUGAAUUCUGGGUGCUGCUAAAUUGCAUUUAGGCUCCAACAUAAGAGUUGUCCUGAUUUUUUCAAAGACCCCGAAUCCCUGCAGCUCCCGUUCUUGGCACGAAUUUUGAGUCCUGAAAACUUUGGAAAGCUGGACACUUUUAAGCUCAUCAAAAGGUCUUAUUGCAUUAUAAACCGAACUAAAUCUAAGUUUAGUGUGUGCUAGAGCCUGCAGUGCAACGUUAAUGAUGCAGCAGUAUGGACUGGCACCAGGAGUGGGGAGACUGGCUGCUGCGCUUGCGUCCCGCUGCUAUUUCUGGCACGCAGAGGCUGCGCGGUGUGGGAUGGGUCAAACGGUAGCAGAUGUGGAUAACAAAAGUAAUAUGGACAUAGCAGCUUGCUUCUGAGGACCUCCAAACACUCCAAGGACACGGUGCUCUCUGCCUUCAAUACAAAGGAAACAUUUCAGUGGGAGCUGAGGUGUUUCUGCAAAUCCCACUAUGCACCCAUCAGGGUAUGUGGAUACAAGGAUACCUUUAAGCCCUAAGCAUCUUUGCAGUGCCCAGCAUAACAAAGAAACUGCCUUCUUUAUUUAUGUCUGUAUUUUGCGCUAGGUGCUUCCUCCCUGCAGCGAGUACCACCUUCUGUUCCCACAAGCACCUUUUGAAACCUGUGUGGAGUCAGGUAUUAGGCAUCACCAACCCCACUGAGGGGGCAAGAAUGGGUCUCAGGUAAGGCCCCGCAUGGCGAGGUGGGUGCUGGGUCUUUAGGGGCCAUACCUGCUCUCCGCAUUGUGUAGCGCAUCUCUGGAAAACGCAGGGAUCAGCCUCAUAAAGCACAAUGCAGA